GGGGGCGCAAUGGCUUCGACGUGGGUAGCAAAACCUGAGGAGCAUGCCAAGGUGCGGAGCCUUGUAAAAAGCCGCAUUUAAAGUAAUCGCAAACGACGAUACUUACGCCCUAGCUGCAUAAGCUAGCGCCUGGCCGAGAUUGUCUGUGGUCUCGCUCUGAUCGGCUAAUACCGUGAAGUUAAGUCAGGCGUCAUUGCACGCAGACUCGCUGUUAUUCCUGUCUCGGGGAUAGUGGCUAAAUCAAACCGGGGCUCGCGCUUUGUCAGCCUGACCGUCGGCUCGUUAAAGCGUCAAACUUAAAGACGGUGCUAAGCAUGUAGCGCCAAGGGCGGAGUGCUCGCGGACGGGGGUUCGACUCCCCCCGCCUCCACCA
This 373-nucleotide transfer-messenger RNA is filed under the name Gammaproteobacteria (g-proteobacteria). Its description in RNAcentral is "HTCC5015 sp000155715 Standard tmRNA". It matches the Rfam family "transfer-messenger RNA". Rfam says of the family: Bacterial tmRNA, also known as 10Sa RNA or SsrA, is named for its dual tRNA and mRNA-like properties. Its role is to liberate the mRNA from a stalled ribosome. To accomplish this part of the tmRNA is used as a reading frame that ends in a translation stop signal. The record is from RNAcentral. RNAcentral also lists the same sequence under 1 other name. Lineage: Bacteria; Pseudomonadati; Pseudomonadota.